GUCUGUAUGGCUCAGUGGUCAGAGCAUCUGCCUAGUAAGCAGGAGGCCUGGGUUCGAAUCCCAGUCCAAUACAAAUU
Molecule: non-coding RNA, 77 nt
Organism: Schistocerca americana (American grasshopper)
Lineage: Eukaryota; Metazoa; Arthropoda; Insecta; Orthoptera; Acrididae
Source: the annotation of a RefSeq genome assembly